This 903-nucleotide ribosomal RNA is filed under the name human gut metagenome. RNAcentral describes it as "bacterial SSU rRNA". It matches the Rfam family "Bacterial small subunit ribosomal RNA", at positions 8 to 896 of the family's 1533-position model. The record is from RNAcentral.
AGAGUUUGAUUCUGGCUCAGAUUGAACGCUGGCGGCGUGCUUAACACAUGCAAGUCGAACGUGAAAGUCCUUCGGGGCGAGUAAAGUGGCGCACGGGUGAGUAACGCGUGGAUAAUCUACCCUUAAGAUGGGGAUAACGGCUGGAAACGGUCGCUAAUACCGAAUACGCUCCCGAUUUUAUCAUUGGGGGGAAAGAUGGCCUCUGCUUGCAAGCUAUCGCUUAAGGAUGAGUCCGCGUCCCAUUAGCUAGUUGGCGGGGUAACGGCCCACCAAGGCAACGAUGGGUAGCCGGUCUGAGAGGAUGACCGGCCACACUGGAACUGGAACACGGUCCAGACUCCUACGGGAGGCAGCAGUGGGGAAUAUUGCGCAAUGGGCGAAAGCCUGACGCAGCGACGCCGCGUGAGGGAUGAAGGUUCUCGGAUCGUAAACCUCUGUCAGGGGGGAAGAAACCCCCUCGUGUGAAUAAUGCGAGGGCUUGACGGUACCCCCAAAGGAAGCACCGGCUAACUCCGUGCCAGCAGCCGCGGUAAUACGGAGGGUGCAAGCAUUAAUCGGAAUCACUGGGCGUAAAGCGCACGUAGGCGGCUUGGUAAGUCAGGGGUGAAAUCCCACAGCCCAACUGUGGAACUGCCUUUGAUACUGCCAGGCUUGAGUACCGGAGAGGGUGGCGGAAUUCCAGGUGUAGGAGUGAAAUCCGUAGAUAUCUGGAGGAACACCGGUGGCGAAGGCGGCCACCUGGACGGUAACUGACGCUGAGGUGCGAAAGCGUGGGUAGCAAACAGGAUUAGAUACCCUGGUAGUCCACGCUGUAAACGAUGGGUGCUGGGUGCUGGGAUGUAUGUCUCGGUGCCGUAGCUAACGCGAUAAGCACCCCGCCUGGGGAGUACGGUCGCAAGGCUG